AUUGGAUAUUUUAAUAUGAUGAGUAUUCUAGGUAGAGAAUAUGGAUAGUAUUACCAUUAUUAGUAUUACGUCAACAUUAACUCAACAAUUGUAUUGUUGACAUGAAGAAAAAGCUAUUUCGAGGUUGUUUUGACCAUUGAUUGCUAAUAACACCUGGCGCCGUGACCUGGAUGCAGAUUCUAAGCAGAUGGGCCAAAAUGGGGGCAGCUAGAGAGACUCGCCUGGAACUGACAAGCCUGGAGGGAGCUGGUUGACUGUUGGCGAGAUGGGACAACAGACGAAGAAUAAACGAACCUACUUGAUUUGAUUAACAUUUUUUUUCGUCGGAAGACAUUUCCCACCAACCAUCCUGUCUUGAAAGAAAUAACUUUUGAACCCGAUUAUCUGGUAAUACUAUUUUUAGCUCAUCUAUUUUUUGAAAAAAAUUAUGAGCUAUUGUCAUCACCUUGGCGUCGGCGUCGGCGUCCGGUUAAGUUUUGUGUUUAGGUCCACUUUUCUCAGAAAGUAUCAAUGCUAUUGCAUUCAAACUUGGUACACUUACUUACUAUCAUGAGGGGACUGGGCAGGCAAAGUUAGAUAACUCUGGCGUGCAUUUUGACUGAAUUAUGUGCCCUUUUUAUACUUAGAAAAUUGAAAAUUUUGGUUAAGUUUUGUGUUAAGGUCCAUUUUAUUCCUUAAGUAUCAAAGCUAUUGCUUUCAUACUUGCAGCACUUACUAACUACCGUAAGGGGACUGUGCAGGCAAAGUUAUGUAACUCUGACUGGCAUUUGGACGGAAUUAUGGGCCCUUUAUACUUAGAAAAUUGAAAGUUUGGUUAAGUUUUGUGUUUUGGUCCACUUUACCCCUAAAGUAUCAUAGAUAUUGCUUUCAUACUUGGAACACUCGCAAACUAUCAUAAGGGUACAGUAAAAGGACAAGUUGCAUAACUGGAUGUCAUUUUUAUGGAAUUAUGGCCCUUUUUUGACUUAGUAACUUUGAAUAUAUGGUUAAAUUUUGUGUUUCGAUCCACUUUACUUCUUAAGUAUCAAGGCUAUUGCUUUCAAACUUCAAAUACUUUCAUGCUAUCAUGAGGUUACUGUACCUGGCAAGUUGAAUUUUACCUUGACCUUUGAAUGACCUUGACUCUCAAGGUCAAAUUAUUAAAUUUCUCUAAAAUUGCCAUAACUUCUUUAUUUAUGAUUAGAUUUGAUUGAUAGAUUGAAACUACUCUUACCUGACAUACCACAAUAGACUCCACCCAAACCAUC
Dreissena polymorpha is the source of this 1247-nucleotide long non-coding RNA. RefSeq lists it as uncharacterized. The record is from RefSeq and is a predicted model, not a curated record. NCBI's taxonomy places the organism in Eukaryota, Metazoa, Mollusca, Bivalvia, Myida, Dreissenidae. The transcript is spliced from 3 exons.